This is a long non-coding RNA of Gadus morhua (Atlantic cod), 3679 nucleotides long. RefSeq lists it as uncharacterized. The record is from RefSeq and is a predicted model, not a curated record. Lineage: Eukaryota; Metazoa; Chordata; Actinopteri; Gadiformes; Gadidae. The transcript is spliced from 3 exons.
AACUGGGGGAAAAGGUUACGCGUCCCUGUUUUUUAUUUUUUCUAUCGGGUUAUCAUAUCAUAGAAGGGUCAUCGUGUUUUAAACCGCUAGAGUCGCACACUAAAAGCUAAUUUUUGUCUAUCAGAAGGCAUUUUAAACCAAAGUUUAGUCCCGACUAAAUAACAGACUUGCUGGAGAACACGUCCCAGCGGUUUAAACGCUAGCUGACGCUGUCGUCCUGGUAAAUUUAACGUGACGACGCAGUUGAUUACAAAUAUAUGCAGAUGCAUUUAUUUUGUAUAAAUCAUUCAUUCGUUAAUGCGAAAUUGGUCGAUCACAUUUUACAUGCCUAACGUUAAAUCAAAUUCCUUUGAUAAAUUUGACUGUGAUCGAGGAAUAUAUCACAGUUAGGAAGUAAUUGCAUCUUAUUUUGCAAUAUCCAACAAAAUUGACCCAAAUUUGCCAAAUCUAAUUUUAAUAGGCUCUACUUACAUUAUUGACACGCGGUCAUAGUUGAGCUAAGUACCAACUUUCACUAGCCAAACGUUAACCAAAGUCUUUGUGAUACUUGUAUUCAAUAUUAUAUGUUGAUGAACAGUGAACUAUGAUUAUGAACUAUCAUGGAGAUGACGUUUUCAAGAUACUAGUUGCAAAUAGUUAAACCUGUUGAUAUCUGCCUUAUUAUUGCCCCUUUCCUCAGCCUGUCUGCUCUAAUAAAUAAGUCAAAUAGUGGUACAUUUAGCUUUGACUACUAUAGGGUACUACUAGUGAUGCCGUGACUAUGAAAAUAGUCACCCACAUCCCAGCCAGAUCUGAACUUGAAACCUGUCAACAGGAUAAUCAACUGAUAAACGAAACAACGUUUUUGGGGGGAGAUUGACUGAUGUUUAUGAACGUGCCAAGGCUCUAUGGUGAAACAGGUCCCAUGGGCUCUACCGGAAGAAGCGUGACUUCGCCACUCUAUAGUGUAGCUCGGAACCAGAUAGAUCAUUUACAUUGCAAAACAUAAUGGGAACACAUUUUUUGCGCAAUGUAUAAAAUGCAUAACCAUUUUGCAAAACAAAAUGCAAGCUGUAGGCCAACAGAGAGCAGUGUUUAUGUAGAUACAAUACAGGGAAAGGGCUGGUAUCUAUGGACACAUUCACAUAACUUUAUUCAUGCCACUGUGGCCACAUUUUUUUAUUUUCUUGGGUGAAUUUAUGUUUGUCAGCAGGAGUUGCCCUACAUAGCCGUUUUGACAAUGGGCCUCAGGAGACCGGCUCCCAAUGGGUAGCUUAGGGCUGUGAUGAACUCCCACUCCCAUUCAGGGUGUUGGCUAACUGGUCAUUCAGGUGAUCGGGGCUCAGCGGACAUCUGUGGGUGCUCACAUAUAAAGCGUAUGGGAGCAGUGAUGUAAAUUAUUUUAGUCUAUGCUAUUUCUGAUAACAUGUUUCAAGCUAACCACUGUUAUGAAUGGUUUCUUCAUCACAUAAUGGAUAGCACCAUAUAAGUUUUUAAUGAUUUUAUAGAUAAGUUGAAGACUACAAACAUGGCCACUUUGCAGUUUCCGUUUAAGCCCAGACAGAACCAAGGUUUACCUGGGUAAAUUAGAACAUGUAGGCGUGGCCUAUUUACCGCUCCGCCCACUCCCUAUAUAACUGUUUGUUUACCUGUGUUCGAGAGACGCCUCAUGGGACACCUCCAGAAUGGGAGAUGCUUCAUGAACCACCUCCAGAACGCAAGCCCGUUUACCUUGUGUCUCUGUUAGAAUAAACCACGUUGUUGAACAUUUAUCACUCUCCGAGUCAUACCUAGCACGAGACCACCACACCACAAAGGAUCCAAUUAGUUUUACUUCAGUGGUGGAUGCAAUUAGUGUGUGUGGUGAGGAGAUGAUUUUUAAUUCCCUUUCCAAUACAUCGGAGGUCUUGGAAUAUAUUGAGAUGUUUUACGUCACUCUUAAAUACUGUGUGUGGAAGGGGUUGUAUCAAUUGAAUAUUACAUUGGGUUUAUAAAAAUCUUGAGUAAUGCUUCGGGAAGAGAACUGCUGCUACUUUUUUGUCGCAGAUUUUAUUUGCCAAGCUUCGGAGAGAAGGCAGAAUAUUUAAUUGAAAACCGAGCUGUAAAAUAACAUAUAAUAAGGACAUUUUAUAUCUGGCCACUGCACCAAAAACUGUACUUUUGGAGUCUUGUACACCCAUAAGGGUUUUGGCACUCUUUGUGCAUGGCACCGUUGUUUUUUACAAUAAAAUACAUAAAUAUCACAUCUAUAGUUUGUAUUUAAACAGGAAUGCUUUGAGCAUAUACAUAUUGGGUAGGGUGAAAGAACCUAAGGUGAGAAGCUAGGAUUUGGCCGGACAAGAGGGCGGCACAAAAACUCCUAAGGCAGGCAGACAGGCAAAGAAGAGAAAUAAAAAUGAGAAAUAAACAGGAAUGGAAGGUGUGGAGAGGGCCCUUUCAGACACCGAAGGGAGGUUCUUUCAUUCGUAUUUCAAGUACGUCUCAAUGGCUCUCUUCUGCUUCUUCUUAGGCCGGGAGAUAACAAACCACAUUACUUUUCGCUUAGAGUGCACAGAAGUGCAGAUGUGUUGGAGGACUGAAGGGAGAGCUAGUGUCAGAGUGUGCAGGGGGUUUCAUCAGGCAUUUCAUUACUAAGGGUCGUGAGGAUGGUUAUUUGGGCCUCGGUCAAGACAACAGAAGACAUAGUCUGGUCUUCUUCAUCAUUAGACCAUUACUUGGGUUGAUCAUAAUUUGUCCUUGCAUCAUUUCUUUCUUUUGUGAGAGGAAUGAAGUUCACAAGAUGAAAGGUUAGAUGAGUGAAAUAUAUCGAAGCAGCCGUGGUCAGAAUAGAGUCUGCGUCUUCACUUUAUCUGUGCUCCUCUCCACUCUGUUGUUCAAUCUCAAACACUGAAUACCCAUUCCAUUUGAUGCAUUAACUCUCGCACUUCAAUUGUAACAAUAAAGCGAUGAUGUCAUAAGACGCAUCAGAAAUAGAAGAAAAAAUAUAGAAAUAGAAAUAGAAUAGCUGAUUAUUAUUGGUGUUAAUGAGCGGCAGAUAUCUUUGGUUUUGUCCAAAUCCACCACAAGAACAUAAUAAACAACAAAUGCUGCUGAAUGAUCACAUGGUGGUUUUCAUCUGAGUUGACAUCCCUCAUUUCAACAUAAGAAGCACAUAAAUUAUAUUGGACAUGGGGUAGGAGUACAGAUAAAGAAACUAUUGUUUAUGAUUAUACAAUAUCCAUCCAGGUACUAAUGCAACUGUGAUGAGCUAUUGUAUUGGAACCUUUUGUAACGACUUGAACUGAAUGAUUUUUGUUUUUGAUUCAUCUUUAGAGACAACUGUGGUUACAAUUGGAGAAAAUAGCCGUAGGUGAUGAAGAAUAAAUGUCUAGACAGAAAUUGCCUCUCCAUCGGGAACUAGGCAACAAGUUUUGGAGAAUAAUAAUUAUUUCUAUGAACUGUAUCUACGUGAAUGAAUAAAUAACAACAGAAAUAUCUGUCAUAUCUCUAUCUGCCUAGUACUGCAUUACAUGCAUCAGUUUGUGAAACGACUGACUGCAGCCGGUAGCUGCGAAAAUAACAAAAAUAUGGAUGGUUUACACAAUUACCUACUUCUCCUCUGCUAUUAGAGCUCCCACCGCUGUCGUCAUGUAAUGUACAAACACAGAAUAUAUAUUUUUAGAAACCAUGUCUCUAUAGUACUGGAUGCAGGGUGUCCAAA